RNAcentral lists this transfer RNA (72 nucleotides) under Balaenoptera acutorostrata scammoni. RNAcentral describes it as "tRNA-Ala (AGC) (tRNA-Ala-AGC-7-1)". It matches the Rfam family "tRNA". From Rfam's summary of the family: Transfer RNA (tRNA) molecules are approximately 80 nucleotides in length. Their secondary structure includes four short double-helical elements and three loops (D, anti-codon, and T loops). The record is from RNAcentral. Lineage: Eukaryota; Metazoa; Chordata; Mammalia; Artiodactyla; Balaenopteridae.
GGGGGGGUAGCUCAGUGGUAGAGCGCGUGCUUAGCAUGCACGAGGCCCUGGGUUCAAUCCCCAGCACCUCCA